AUUGUUGUUGGUUAAUGCAUUCAUUUAUUAUUGCUUACACGUGGUAUUAAGUUUGUGCAAAUAAGUCAGUUUUGCUAAUUGUAGGUGCCGUCAUAAUGUUAAUUGUAAUAAAGUUAAAGUAGAAUUAAAACUUGAAAGUGUAACAUGUAUCUAAAAGUGAAAAUUAUAAUUUAUAUUUAUAUAUUGACGUCUAAUAUUUGGAAAUCUCAAUCAUUUUUGUGCCCGCAUUGCAGUGAUGUUUUUGAAUUAUUUAUAGAACUUGUGUUUUUCAGUUAAUAUGCCUGGAGAACAAGAUUUAUUUGAGGAAAGCGAAAUUGACUUCUCUGCUGACGACGAUAUAGCCGAUCCCACCAUUCACCAUCCCAAAAGUCUCAAAAAGGAAAGGGAGUUUGCUUUGUGAGGUUGCAAUGAAGGAGCGGCGUUUGGAUUCCAACUGGUCUUCAAAAAUAAUUUGUAAGGCUGAUUUCUAUAUCGAUUUCGUGAAAGUAUGUUUAUGUCAGGGUUGCCAAAAAACAACAAACACUUGGAGUUAGUCAUUGUGUUUGUUGUUGAGGUAUUCGUGUUCAAUUUUGUGUUUCUCGAUCCUGCUAUUAUGUGUAUGGUUGAUAGCUACCGUGUAGUAAAGUUAUUGUUUUGUCGUUGGUUUUCCCAUAGUGAUAUGUAUCUUUCAUCAGAUGAUAAGGAGACAACUAUUGCAAAAUGCGUUGAGUGCGGACGUAAUAUUAGAGGCUACGCAGGGGUUUCUUCCAACUUUCUCACGCAUUUAAAAUUAAGACAUGCUGACGCUUACAAAAAAUAUAAAAAUAUGAAAUUAGGUAAUUUUGGUUCACUGCAAGAAUGCGUCAAUGGCAAAAUUUUACAUUGGAUUGUGGAUGCUGCUAUGCCUGUUUCUGUCGUUGACAGACAGUCCUUCGUCUCCAUAUUUGAGGAUACUGGACUGAAAAUAAUGAACAGGCAAACCGCGAAAAAAAAGUUGGAAGAUUCUUACCAAAACAUGUUGGCAAAAAUAAAAGAUGGAAUUUCUUCUGCUGAAUAUUUUUGUACAACUGCUGAUAUUUGGUCAGGGAAAAAACGUAGUUUUUUUGGUUACACUUGCCAUUGGCUGACCAAAGAUUUUCAAAGACAAUCAGUGGCAUUGGCUUGUAGAAGGUUCAAAGGUGCUCAUACGGCAAAGUUGGGCAGAUGAUCGCGGAACUUAACAAUUUCUUUAACCUUGAUGACAAAAACAUUGUUAUGACCAUUACCGACAAUGGGUUAAAUUUUAUUAAAGCUUUUAAAGACCAUGGAAUUGACAAUUUCCACCAGGAAGAUGACAGAGAAGACGACAGCGAUGACGAACUGUCUUUCCGGGAAAAUAAGUUUUUAUUGCCAAAAUACCAUCGGUGCUCUAGCCAUACGCUGAACUUGCUUGCAACUACCGAUUUUUUGAAAAUUUUGAAAGCAGAUCUGGCUGUUUACGAAAAACACAAAAUGAUUUUUGAAAAAUUUAAUAGCCUUUGAAAGAAGUGCAACUGGCCAAAGUCAUCAGAAGUUAUUGUCGCUUAUUUAGGAUCAAACUUGGUUGUGCCCGUUGUGACAAGGUGGAACUCUUUGUAUGAUGCCGUUACAAAAAUAACACAUCAUAAGAGUAGGCUUAAUAUUUUGUGCGACCAAUUAAGUUUGGUCGCAUUUUUCAGUGGCGUUCAAUAUUUGGAGUCAUACAAGUUGCUGAUGACUCCGAUUACCUGUACUCAUUACAUUAAGCAACAAAUUGCAAAAGCUGAGUAAAAAGGAAUUUCACCUAAGCUCAGUCGCUGCAAAAAUUAAUCUGACCCUGUGGAGCCGAUUUGAAAUAGUUUUUAGUUUAUCCCCUGAAGCAAAUAUUGCAAUCACAGCUGUUGUAUUGACUCCAUAAGUUAAAAUGAAGUGGCUGCCUGUUCUGGAAAGAUCCACAACUGGCAUAAACAAGGAAAUAGUAUCCAGAAACGUAAUUCAAGAAAUAAGUAGAUUCGCGGAAUCAUCAAAUCUCGCUAUUCAAAAUAAUUUUAAAAGUAAUGAUUUG
Molecule: long non-coding RNA, 2041 nt
Organism: Bactrocera latifrons
Lineage: Eukaryota; Metazoa; Arthropoda; Insecta; Diptera; Tephritidae
Exons: 3
Source: RefSeq, a predicted model, not a curated record